GGCUCACCUGCACCUUGGUUAAAAGCCCCAAGCUUAUUCCAACAUGCAGUGUCUGUCAGGAAGCUCAAACUGAGAAUAAAAUUCCUCUGUGACCUUACUGCCCACUGAAAUUGCCAGAUGAGUGAAGAAAUGUCAAUUGAAACAAAGAGUGGCUAAAGGGAAAGCCUGUAUUAAUUCAAGUUCUACAGACUCUUACAACAAGUAGGGAAAAGAAUUUUAACCCCGGUGUUCUGAUGAAAUUCCAGACUCUGUAAUUACAUUAGCUCUGAAGUCCACCUGCAGUUUUAAUAUAAAAAGCUGUUCUGCUUCGAGCUGUCGCCUGCCAUGCAGUUACGCUGCUCAGUGUCAAACAGGUGCUGGAGUUCAUCAGACAGGUAAAAGGCUUCAUGAGGGCUACAAGGACUGCUGAGGAGCUGCAGUGCCACUCCCUUGCUGUUCAUUCCUGCCUUGAGGUGGAACUAAAGAUCAUCAGCCGACUCAUAUGGAGAACUGUGAUGCUGUCUCUUCCAGAGGCUCAUUAGCACUCACUCAGCAAGGUUCCCCAGCUUUGCCUGUACUCUUUCGAAGCAGCAACCAGAUUGCAUUUAGGUGUGCAGGACCACCACUAGGGAAAAGAGGGCUGGACUCUUGUCUUGGACUGCCAUCAUGCAGCCUCUCCUGUGUGACAGUAUAAAACAGCAAGGACAAGGGCUGGAUGCUGAUGGACUCAAAGCUUUAGACCCAGAUUUACAGCAACAUGGUGUGCUGUUGAUUUCUCACAAAGAAGUCAUCAAAAACACAGCUCUAAGAAGCUUCUGCACUGAAAGAAAUGACGUGUUUGCAGCUCAGAAGCUAAGGAAGCUGCCAAAAACCAUAAGGAGAUGGGAUGUAUACACAGAGGACUAGAAGGGAGAGCUGUAGUUCUGUCUGCAGUCACCAGAAGAACAGGGAAGGAUGGCUGCAGAGUACCAACUACCAUGUGGACACACGGAUCUCUUCUAAACUGGAAGUGGGACUGAGAAACACCCAGUUUCACUGUGCCCUGAAGGCAGUAUGCACUGUAGCUUUGUUUAGAAAGUGUCAGUGUAGGCCUUUUGUUAGAAAAGGUGAGAGAAAGUAAUAGGAAGUAUCAGUAGUAUUCCUUCAGACAUAAGUGUGUAUGGAGAAAGGAGUCUGUGUGCCAAUGCAAGCUCUUGCUGUUAAAGAGAGAUGUCUUUUACACACUUAGUGCAGGAAGAUGCAGGAAAAUUAUCUUGGUGUGCUGGGUCUGUUUCACAGGUCAGUGGGACAGGAAGGUGAGGCCGUGACCUCCUCUCUAGCCCAAGUUACUCUGUGGACUGUGCAGUCUUUGCAGCACGUGGAAGAAUGUCAUCAUAACCCAACAUCUGUUGGUCAACUGUUUGCAUAGCUCCUUCCUAACACUGGCUUUAGUGGGGUGAUUAGGGUUAACAUCCUCAUCUGGUAGCAGGACCUUUUGCUUUAUGAUAUGAGAAGGUGUCCAGCUCUGCUGAGGAGCUUCACACAGACUACAGUACACAAAGAGCAGCUACCUCUUCAUCCAACCUGGGCACAAUCAUAAUAGUACUUCUGGUUAAGAGAGUAGUCAGAAAAGUAUUUGAGACUGUUGUCUUAACCAGAGUCACUUUUAAUUGUGACCUGAUUUUGAAAGGUUUGGGGCACCCUUCAGAGGAAGUUUAAGAUGUAACAGCCAUAGGUAGUCACUGUCUUUAUGGAGUUAAGAGAUUAACACGGAGAUAGUAAUUUUACAAAGAAUUAAAAAUAAUUGUUUGCAAUGAUUAAAAGGACAUUUAUUUGACAGUGUCCCCUAAAAUUGUCUAUGUGAUUACCCAUUUUACAGAUGCAAUUUCUGGUCUAACAUUUUUGCUAUCAUAAUCAACUGACUGCAAUUAGUGAGGAAGCAUGAGAGUUAUUUAGACCACACAAGUAAGGCAGUUAGCUUGCUGGCCACUAAGAUUAGUCCUUGAAAAAUGGCAUGAAUACAAACAUGAGGGUACAAAUAUUUUUAUUGCCUCUUUACUCUGUUUUAUUUUUCCUUCUCUUUCCUCCCUCCUUCUUCCAAGACGGAAAAGUAGAUGUAAGCCUCUGCUGAGGCACAGCUGAAGUUAAAAAACAAACAAUAACAACAACAAAAACACAAAGUAACAUCAAAAAGACCAACAAAACAAACAAAAAACAACUUCUUAAUUCACUGCAGCAUUUGUGCAUAACCAAGACGUUAUGUUUCAUGUUAUGUGGUACAAUCACUGAUCCCUGAGGAGUUCACACCUUGUGUGUUCUUCCCUUUCAAACUGUUAACAUUUUACCAAUCCCAAGUGAAUACAUAAAUCUCUGGGACGUUUUGAGUGUGGUACCAUUUUUUAGACUUUGCCAGUGAUUGGGCUGAGCAAAACUGUAUUCUUCCUUAUUCAUAGGGCCACACACAUUCUCGUUUUGAAAACAAUUUCAAUGUGUAAUGGAAACAUUAAGAUUUGAUGCAAAAUGGAAUAGUCGUGUUACCUCCAUGCAGUAGCUCCAUGUUCCUCACAUCACCUCAAAAUUCUGUCACUUGCUAUGUGACAGAACUGUGGCCUUGCUUUGUGAGGGCAGGAUUAGUUGCUGGUUUGUUAGAUGCCCCAGUGCUAUGCACUUUUCAUUGUUUUUAAUAACUGUUGAACUGUGAGGAGAAGGUACUUUACAGGAAAAGAAAGCUAAGGAGGGAGAUACUUAAAUCAAAGUUCCCCAAGCAUAUAGUCUCUUCUCCUAGCAAGAAAAUAGAAAAUGUAUGCAAAUGUAGAAAAUUUGUGAAAACGUAUGAAAUAUCUUUUGGAAACUCAUUUGGAAUUAAGAUUUUCUUACUGAAAUCUUUAAAUUAAAGUGUUCAGGUUCAUAGUUCCGUAUGUUUAUGUGAUUUAAGGACUGGGAAGAUGCUAUCAGCAUCUUCACUUCCUACGGCCAAUAGCUCAGGAGGAAAAAUGAAUGAGUUAAUUGAAAUGUGUAUGUUGCUAUUAUUGAAUCCUGUUCUGUUUUAGGAAUCAAAUUACACAGAUCUUAACAUUGAGCAAUAGAUCUGCUGCAUAAACAAGCCAGCUACGGUGACUUCCUCGGCUACUUCAUAUAGUAUUAUAGGACAGAGCUGUUGUAUUUUUAUUCACUCCAGUCUUCAGAUUCUACUUAGUCCUUACAUCUUUUCCUGAAGUUCAUAAUUUUCUUUGAUUCUUCUUUAUUUCCUUCCACUUUUUCUGUACAUUUUCAUGCUGUAGUUGUUUCCAUCUCUUUCUCUUUGGUGUUACAGAAAUGGAUAAAACGUCUGGAUUCACAUCUUAGAGGCAUUUUAUAUCUGUAUAGCACUUUUAACUUCAGUAUAAUUGUUCCUGAUUUACUCUAAUGCAAAAGUGAUUGGAGCUAGGCUGCCAAAACAACUAUUAUAGUGUAGCUGUAGUAAUAUCAGUGUAGGUAAAGGAACUUGCUGGUUGCGUGUAUUUGAAACAGUUCUUUUCCCUGCCAAAAUCUUCAACUGUGGUAAAGAUCUAUAAAGAAGUACCAUCAAAUAAACAAACUUUAUUUGGGGCAAUUUGAAUGCAUGUGAAAAUCUUCCCCAACUCAUCUUGAUUUAGGCACCCAAAAUCAAUGGAUGGUUUUAGCAGCUCUCUUUUAGCAGACCUAUCUUAGACUAUCUAAAAAACAUGCAAAACUCAACUCAUACAAGCAUAUUGCUGAAUACUUGUUCAAGUGCCCCU
Molecule: non-coding RNA, 3716 nt
Organism: Anas platyrhynchos (mallard)
Lineage: Eukaryota; Metazoa; Chordata; Aves; Anseriformes; Anatidae
Source: RefSeq, a predicted model, not a curated record